GGAUGAACGCUAGCGGCAGGCCUAAUACAUGCAAGUCGAGGGGUAUGGGUUGCUUGCAACCCAGAGACCGGCGCACGGGUGCGUAACGCGUAUGCAAUCUACCUUAAUCAGGGGGAUAGCCCGGAGAAAUCCGGAUUAACACCGCAUAACAUUGAGUUGUGGCAUCACAGUUCAAUCAAAUAUUUAUAGGAUUAAGAUGAGCAUGCGUGACAUUAGUUAGUUGGUGAGGUAACGGCUCACCAAGACCACGAUGUCUAGGGGAUCUGAGAGGAUGACCCCCCACACUGGUACUGAGACACGGACCAGACUCCUACGGGAGGCAGCAGUAAGGAAUAUUGGUCAAUGGGCGCAAGCCUGAACCAGCCAUGCCGCGUGCAGGAAGACGGCCCUAUGGGUUGUAAACUGCUUUUGUACCGGAAUAAACCUUCUCUUGCGAGAGAAGCUGAACGUACGGUAAGAAUAAGGAUCGGCUAACUCCGUG
This 481-nucleotide ribosomal RNA is filed under the name uncultured bacterium. RNAcentral's name for it is "partial 16S ribosomal RNA". It matches the Rfam family "Bacterial small subunit ribosomal RNA", at positions 27 to 507 of the family's 1533-position model. The record is from RNAcentral.